Molecule: ribosomal RNA, 501 nt
Filed under: Sporosarcina sp. BF.150
Lineage: Bacteria; Bacillati; Bacillota; Bacilli; Caryophanales; Caryophanaceae
Also listed under: 1 other name
Description: bacterial SSU rRNA
Rfam family: Bacterial small subunit ribosomal RNA
Source: RNAcentral
CCCUGGCUCAGGACGAACGCUGGCGGCGUGCCUAAUACAUGCAAGUCGAGCGGAAUGAUGAAGAAGCUUGCUUCUUCUGAUUUUAGCGGCGGACGGGUGAGUAACACGUGGGCAACCUACCUUGUAGAUUGGGAUAACUCCGGGAAACCGGGGCUAAUACCGAAUAAUCCAUUUUGCUUCAUGGCAAGAUGUUGAAAGGCGGCUUCGGCUGUCACUACGAGAUGGGCCCGCGGCGUAUUAGCUAGUUGGUAGGGUAAUGGCCUACCAAGGCGACGAUACGUAGCCGACCUGAGAGGGUGAUCGGCCACACUGGGACUGAGACACGGCCCAGACUCCUACGGGAGGCAGCAGUAGGGAAUCUUCCACAAUGGACGAAAGUCUGAUGGAGCAACGCCGCGUGAGUGAAGAAGGUUUUCGGAUCGUAAAACUCUGUUGUAAGGGAAGAACACGUACGAGAGUAACUGCUCGUACCUUGACGGUACCUUAUUAGAAAGCCACGGC